This 68-nucleotide transfer RNA is filed under the name Deltocephalinae sp. EMHAU-2015-Zz052318. RNAcentral's name for it is "tRNA-Asp". It matches the Rfam family "tRNA". From Rfam's summary of the family: Transfer RNA (tRNA) molecules are approximately 80 nucleotides in length. Their secondary structure includes four short double-helical elements and three loops (D, anti-codon, and T loops). The record is from RNAcentral. Lineage: Eukaryota; Metazoa; Arthropoda; Insecta; Hemiptera; Cicadellidae.
AAGAAAUUAGUUUAACUGAAAAACAUUAGUUUGUCAAAUUAAAAAUAUUGUCUAAAAAAUAUUUCUUU